AUAGGAUCUAGACCUGGCAUAUCUUCAUACGACCAUGCAAAAAUAUCCGGAUAUUCCCGGAGGAGUUGGAUGAUCUUCUUUUUAACCCCUUCCUCUAGAGCAGCACCGAUUUUGAUCUCUCGUUUGUUCUCCUCGGUACCUAUGUUGAGGAGCUCAAUCUCCUCCUGG
RNAcentral lists this microRNA precursor (168 nucleotides) under Medicago truncatula (barrel medic). RNAcentral describes it as "MIR2680 microRNA precursor family". It matches the Rfam family "MIR2680 microRNA precursor family". Lineage: Eukaryota; Viridiplantae; Streptophyta; Magnoliopsida; Fabales; Fabaceae. The record is from Rfam by way of RNAcentral.